GCUCUGUGGGAUCAGUGGCGAACGGGUGAGUAACACGUGAGCAACCUGCCCCUGACUCUGGGAUAAGCGCUGGAAACGGCGUCUAAUACUGGAUAUGUGACGUGACCGCAUGGUCUGCGUUUGGAAAGAUUUUUCGGUUGGGGAUGGGCUCGCGGCCUAUCAGCUUGUUGGUGAGGUAAUGGCUCACCAAGGCGUCGACGGGUAGCCGGCCUGAGAGGGUGACCGGCCACACUGGGACUGAGACACGGCCCAGACUCCUACGGGAGGCAGCAGUGGGGAAUAUUGCACAAUGGGCGAAAGCCUGAUGCAGCAACGCCGCGUGAGGGAUGACGGCCUUCGGGUUGUAAACCUCUUUUAGCAGGGAAGAAGCGAAAGUGACGGUACCUGCAGAAAAAGCGCCGGCUAACUACGUGCCAGCAGCCGCGGUAAUACGUAGGGCGCAAGCGUUAUCCGGAAUUAUUGGGCGUAAAGAGCUCGUAGGCGGUUUGUCGCGUCUGCUGUGAAAUCCCGAGGCUCAACCUCGGGCCUGCAGUGGGUACGGGCAGACUAGAGUGCGGUAGGGGAGAUUGGAAUUCCUGGUGUAGCGGUGGAAUGCGCAGAUAUCAGGAGGAACACCGAUGGCGAAGGCAGAUCUCUGGGCCGUAACUGACGCUGAGGAGCGAAAGGGUGGGGAGCAAACAGGCUUAGAUACCCUGGUAGUCCACCCCGUAAACGUUGGGAACUAGUUGUGGGGUCCAUUCCACGGAUUCCGUGACGCAGCUA
RNAcentral lists this ribosomal RNA (762 nucleotides) under Microbacterium testaceum. Its description in RNAcentral is "bacterial SSU rRNA". It matches the Rfam family "Bacterial small subunit ribosomal RNA", at positions 81 to 854 of the family's 1533-position model. The record is from RNAcentral. Lineage: Bacteria; Bacillati; Actinomycetota; Actinomycetes; Micrococcales; Microbacteriaceae.